GGGGCUAAUCCCUGAUAGGCACCCUCAACUGGAAUGUGUCGGUGUCGAAAGCUCCGGCGCCUGAGGAUGGGCCUGCGGCCGAUUAGGUUGUUGGCGGGGUAACAGCCCACCAAGCCGACGAUCGGUACGGGCAGUGAGAGCUGUAGCCCGGAGAUGGGGACUGAGACAAGGCCCCAGGCCCUACGGGGCGCAGCAGGCGCGAAACCUUCACAAUGCUCGAAAGAGUGAUGAGGGUACUCCGAGUGCCAGUGCUUAGCACUGGCUUUUCUGCAGCGUAAAUAGUUGAAGGAAUAAGGGCUGGGCAAGACCGGUGCCAGCCGCCGCGGUAACACCGGCAGCCCUAGUGGUGACCGCUUUUAUUGGGCCUAAAGCGUUCGUAGCCGGGCCGGUAAGUCCUUGGGUAAAUCCUGCGUCUCAAGCGCGGGAAUUCUAAGGAUACUACUGGCCUUGAGGCCGGGAUAGGCGAGAGGUACUCCCGGGGUAGGGGUAAAAUCCUAUAAUCCUGGGGGGACCACCGAUGGCGAAGGCAUCUCGCUGGAACGGGCCUGACGGUGAGGGACGAAACCCAGGGGAGCGAGCCGGAUUAGAUACCCGGGUAGUCCUGGGCGUAAAUGAUGUGGGCUUGGUGUGAGCGCAUCGACGAGGUGCGCUUGUGCCGGAGGGAAGCCGUUAAGCCCACCGCCUGGGGAGUACGGUCACAAGGCCGAAACUUAAAGGAAUUGGCGGGGGAGCAC
RNAcentral lists this ribosomal RNA (734 nucleotides) under uncultured archaeon. RNAcentral's name for it is "bacterial SSU rRNA". It matches the Rfam family "Archaeal small subunit ribosomal RNA", at positions 142 to 879 of the family's 1478-position model. The record is from RNAcentral.